CUUCAGUGAAGGUUGAACACAGUCAGAAGCCGCAGUCUGCUUGUACAGGCCAGAAGAAUACAGCAUCUGAGAAACAAAAUAAAAGUGAGGAAGCAGAAGCCGGUGAAGGCAAACAGCAUGUCUCAUUUCCUACAACGAAAAAAAAUCAAAAUCAGAAACCGCAGAAUUCAACACAGGACAUGGUGUUUGGCCCACAGAAUAAACCUAAGAAGAAUCACGAUUCCAGUGGCGAUUCUUCAGUGAAGGUUGAACACAGUCAGAAGCCGCAGUCUGCUUGUACAGGCCAGAAGAAUACAGCAUCUGAGAAACAAAAUAAAAGUGAGGAAGCAGAAACCAGUGAAGGCAAACAGCAUGUCUCAUUUCCUAAAACAAAAAAAAAUCAGAAUCAGGAACCACAGAAUUCAUCACAAGACACGGUGUUAGGCCCACAGAAUAAAUCUAAGAAGAAUCACAGUUCCAGUGGAGAUUCACC
Molecule: long non-coding RNA, 472 nt
Organism: Cyprinus carpio carpio
Lineage: Eukaryota; Metazoa; Chordata; Actinopteri; Cypriniformes; Cyprinidae
Source: Ensembl